GGUCAAGUGAAGAAGCGCAUACGGUGGAUGCCUUGGCAGUCAGAGGCGAUGAAAGACGUGGUAGCCUGCGAAAAGCUUCGGGGAGUCGGCAAACAGACUUUGAUCCGGAGAUCUCUGAAUGGGGGAACCCACCUAGGAUAACCUAGGUAUCUUGUACUGAAUCCAUAGGUGCAAGAGGCGAACCAGGGGAACUGAAACAUCUAAGUACCCUGAGGAAAAGAAAUCAACCGAGAUUCCCUUAGUAGUGGCGAGCGAACGGGGAUUAGCCCUUAAGCUUCAUUGAUUUUAGCGGAACGCUCUGGAAAGUGCGGCCAUAGUGGGUGAUAGCCCCGUACGCGAAAGGAUCUUUGAAGUGAAAUCGAGUAGGACGGAGCACGAGAAACUUUGUCUGAACAUGGGGGGACCAUCCUCCAAGGCUAAAUACUACUGACUGACCGAUAGUGAACCAGUACCGUGAGGGAAAGGCGAAAAGAACCCCGGAGAGGGGAGUGAAAUAGAACCUGAAACCGUAUGCGUACAAGCAGUGGGAGCCUACUUGUUAGGUGACUGCGUACCUUUUGUAUAAUGGGUCAGCGACUUAUAUUCAGUGGCAAGCUUAACCGUAUAGGGUAGGCGUAGCGAAAGCGAGUCUUAAUAGGGCGUUUAGUCGCUGGGUAUAGACCCGAAACCGGGCGAUCUAUCCAUGAGCAGGUUGAAGGUUAGGUAACACUGACUGGAGGACCGAACCCACUCCCGUUGAAAAGGUAGGGGAUGACUUGUGGAUCGGAGUGAAAGGCUAAUCAAGCUCGGAGAUAGCUGGUUCUCCUCGAAAGCUAUUUAGGUAGCGCCUCAUGUAUCACUCUGGGGGGUAGAGCACUGUUUCGGCUAGGGGGUCAUCCCGACUUACCAAACCGAUGCAAACUCCGAAUACCCAGAAGUGCCGAGCAUGGGAGACACACGGCGGGUGCUAACGUCCGUCGUGAAAAGGGAAACAACCCAGACCGCCAGCUAAGGUCCCAAAGUUGUGGUUAAGUGGUAAACGAUGUGGGAAGGCUUAGACAGCUAGGAGGUUGGCUUAGAAGCAGCCAUCCUUUAAAGAAAGCGUAAUAGCUCACUAGUCGAGUCGGCCUGCGCGGAAGAUGUAACGGGGCUCAAACCACACACCGAAGCUGCGGGUGUCACGUAAGUGACGCGGUAGAGGAGCGUUCUGUAAGCCUGUGAAGGUGAGUUGAGAAGCUUGCUGGAGGUAUCAGAAGUGCGAAUGCUGACAUGAGUAACGACAAUGGGUGUGAAAAACACCCACGCCGAAAGACCAAGGGUUCCUGCGCAACGUUAAUCGACGCAGGGUUAGUCGGUUCCUAAGGCGAGGCUGAAAAGCGUAGUCGAUGGGAAACAGGUUAAUAUUCCUGUACUUCUGGUUACUGCGAUGGAGGGACGGAGAAGGCUAGGCCAGCUUGGCGUUGGUUGUCCAAGUUUAAGGUGGUAGGCUGAAAUCUUAGGUAAAUCCGGGGUUUCAAGGCCGAGAGCUGAUGACGAGUCGUCUUUUAGAUGACGAAGUGGUUGAUGCCAUGCUUCCAAGAAAAGCUUCUAAGCUUCAGGUAACCAGGAACCGUACCCCAAACCGACACAGGUGGUCGGGUAGAGAAUACCAAGGCGCUUGAGAGAACUCGGGUGAAGGAACUAGGCAAAAUGGCACCGUAACUUCGGGAGAAGGUGCGCCGGCUAGGGUGAAGGAUUUACUCCGUAAGCUCUGGCUGGUCGAAGAUACCAGGCCGCUGCGACUGUUUAUUAAAAACACAGCACUCUGCAAACACGAAAGUGGACGUAUAGGGUGUGACGCCUGCCCGGUGCCGGAAGGUUAAUUGAUGGGGUUAGCGCAAGCGAAGCUCUUGAUCGAAGCCCCGGUAAACGGCGGCCGUAACUAUAACGGUCCUAAGGUAGCGAAAUUCCUUGUCGGGUAAGUUCCGACCUGCACGAAUGGCGUAACGAUGGCGGCGCUGUCUCCACCCGAGACUCAGUGAAAUUGAAAUCGCUGUGAAGAUGCAGUGUAUCCGCGGCUAGACGGAAAGACCCCGUGAACCUUUACUGUAGCUUUGCACUGGACUUUGAGCCUGCUUGUGUAGGAUAGGUGGGAGGCUUUGAAGCGUGGACGCCAGUUCGCGUGGAGCCAUCCUUGAAAUACCACCCU
Molecule: ribosomal RNA, 2167 nt
Filed under: Pseudomonas aeruginosa
Lineage: Bacteria; Pseudomonadati; Pseudomonadota; Gammaproteobacteria; Pseudomonadales; Pseudomonadaceae
Description: partial 23S ribosomal RNA
Rfam family: Bacterial large subunit ribosomal RNA
Source: RNAcentral